GACGAACGCUGGCGGCGUGCUUAACACAUGCAAGUCGAACGGAAAGGCCCUGCUUUUGUGGGGUGCUCGAGUGGCGAACGGGUGAGUAACACGUGAGUAACCUGCCCUUGACUUUGGGAUAACUUCAGGAAACUGGGGCUAAUACCGGAUAGGAGCUCCUGCUGCAUGGUGGGGGUUGGAAAGUUUCGGCGGUUGGGGAUGGACUCGCGGCUUAUCAGCUUGUUGGUGGGGUAGUGGCUUACCAAGGCUUUGACGGGUAGCCGGCCUGAGAGGGUGACCGGCCACAUUGGGACUGAGGUACGGCCCAGACUCCUACGGGAGGCAGAAGUGGGGAAUAUUGCAAAAUGGGCGGAAGCCUGAUGCAGCAACGCCGCGUGCGGGAUGACGGCCUUCGGGUUGUAAACCGCUUUCGCCUGUGACGAAGCGUGAGUGACGGUAAUGGGUAAAGAAGCACCGGCUAACUACGUG
This 468-nucleotide ribosomal RNA is filed under the name uncultured bacterium. RNAcentral's name for it is "partial 16S ribosomal RNA". It matches the Rfam family "Bacterial small subunit ribosomal RNA", at positions 28 to 507 of the family's 1533-position model. The record is from RNAcentral.